This 497-nucleotide ribosomal RNA is filed under the name uncultured bacterium. Its description in RNAcentral is "partial 16S ribosomal RNA". It matches the Rfam family "Bacterial small subunit ribosomal RNA", at positions 28 to 507 of the family's 1533-position model. The record is from RNAcentral.
GAUGAACGCUGGCGGCGUGCCUAAUACAUGCCAGUCGAGCGAACGGACGAGAAGCUUGCUUUUCUGAUGUUAGCGGCGGACGGGUGAGUAACACGUGGAUAACCUACCUAUAAGACUGGGAUAACUUCGGGAAACCGGAGCUAAUACCGGAUAAUAUUUUGAACCGCAUGGUUCAAAAGUGAAAGACGGUCUUGCUGUCACUUAUAGAUGGAUCCGCGCUGCAUUAGCUAGUUGGUAAGGUAACGGCUUACCAAGGCAACGAUGCAUAGCCGACCUGAGAGGGUGAUCGGCCACACUGGAACUGAGACACGGUCCAGACUCCUACGGGAGGCAGCAGUAGGGAAUCUGCCGCAAUGGGCGAAAGCCUGACGGAGCAACGCCGCGUGAGUGAUGAAGGUCUUCGGAUCGUAAAACUCUGUUAUUAGGGAAGAACAGAUGUGUAAGUAACUGUGCACGUCUUGACGGUACCUAAUCAGAAAGCCACGGCUAACUACGUG